This is a long non-coding RNA of Patella vulgata (common limpet), 480 nucleotides long. RefSeq lists it as uncharacterized. Lineage: Eukaryota; Metazoa; Mollusca; Gastropoda; Patellidae. The transcript has 4 exons. The record is from RefSeq and is a predicted model, not a curated record.
UAACCGCAAAUUAGAAAAUUUACCAACAAUUUUCCACUCGACUGUGUUGACGAUCCAAGAUGUGUUUUUGAUUACAAUAAUUAAUGGCGACAGUUGUAUAAAAAAGACGGGUCGCGUCGUGUCGAUAUAUCCAUCAAUUUGUUUCUUGACAGUUUCAGGAAAUCGGUGACGUCAUGGUUCUGUCAGCUGGAAAACUUUUAGCAUGUUUGGUGUUAGUGGCUGUAGUUACCGUUCAUGUAAAUGGUAUGUGGGCGAUGUUUAUGCAGAGUAUUGACUUGGAUAACGACGGCGUGUUAAAAGGCGAGGCGGAGAUGGCGAAACUAAAAGAAUCUUUGGUGAAAACUGGUGAAACUGCUGAGAGUGCUCAACAAGCAAUAGAUAGUGCUGACACUAACUUUGAUGGCGAAAUCGACGCUGAUGAAUAUGGCGAGUUGAGGACGAAUUUAUUGUAAUUCCUCAGAAAUAAAAUAUAUAACUCUA